RNAcentral lists this ribosomal RNA (440 nucleotides) under uncultured bacterium. RNAcentral describes it as "partial 16S ribosomal RNA". It matches the Rfam family "Bacterial small subunit ribosomal RNA", at positions 338 to 795 of the family's 1533-position model. The record is from RNAcentral.
CCUACGGGAGGCAGCAGUGGGGAAUAUUGCACAAUGGGGGAAACCCUGAUGCAGCGACGCCGCGUGAGUGAAGAAGUAAUUCGUUAUGGAAAGCUCUAUCAGCAGGGAAGAAAAUGACGGUACCUGAGUAAGAAGCCCCGGCUAACUACGUGCCAGCAGCCGCGGUAAUACGGAGGGGGCAAGCGUUAUCCGGAUUUACUGGGUGUAAAGGGAGCGUAGGCGGCAGUGCAAGUCUGGAGUGAAAGGCGGGGGCUCAACCCCCGGACUGCUCUGGAAACUGGACGGCUGGAGUGCAGGAGAGGUAAGUGGAAUGCGUGGUGUAGCGGUGAAAUGCGUAGAUAUUAGGAGGAACACCAGUGGCGAAGGCAGCUUACUGGACUGUAACUGACGUUGAGGCUCGAAAGCGUGGGGAGCAAACAGGAUUAGAUACCCCAGUAGUC